GACGAACGCUGGCGGCGUGCUUAACACAUGCAAGUCGAACGGAAAGGCCCUGCUUUUGUGGGGUGCUCGAGUGGCGAACGGGUGAGUAACACGUGAGUAACCUGCCCUUGACUUUGGGAUAACUUCAGGAAACUGGGGCUAAUACCGGAUAGGAGCUCCUGCUGCCUGGUGGGGGUUGGAAAGUUUCGGCGGUUGGGCAUAGACUCGCGGCUUAUCAGCUUGUUGGUGGGGUAGUGGCUUACCAAGGCUUUGACGGGUAGACGGCCUGGGAGGGUGACCGGCAACAUGGGGACUAAGAUACGGCCCAGACUGCUACGGGAGACAGCAGUGGGGAAUAUUGCACAAUGGGCGGAGGCGUGAUGCAGCAACGCCGCGUGCGGGAUGACGGCCUUCGGGUUGUAAAGCGCUUUCGCCUGUGACGAAGCGGGAGUGACGGUAAUGGGUAAAGAAGCAACGGCUAAGUACGUG
This 468-nucleotide ribosomal RNA is filed under the name uncultured bacterium. RNAcentral's name for it is "partial 16S ribosomal RNA". It matches the Rfam family "Bacterial small subunit ribosomal RNA", at positions 28 to 507 of the family's 1533-position model. The record is from RNAcentral.